This 744-nucleotide ribosomal RNA is filed under the name uncultured bacterium. Its description in RNAcentral is "bacterial SSU rRNA". It matches the Rfam family "Bacterial small subunit ribosomal RNA", at positions 8 to 796 of the family's 1533-position model. The record is from RNAcentral.
AGAGUUUGAUCCUGGCUCAGAGCGAACGCUGGCGGCAGGCUUAACACAUGCAAGUCGAGCGGGCGUAGCAAUACGUCAGCGGCAGACGGGUGAGUAACGCGUGGGAACGUACCUUUUGGUUCGGAACAACACAGGGAAACUUGUGCUAAUACCGGAUAAGCCCUUACGGGGAAAGAUUUAUCGCCGAAAGAUCGGCCCGCGUCUGAUUAGCUAGUUGGUGAGGUAACGGCUCACCAAGGCGACGAUCAGUAGCUGGUCUGAGAGGAUGAUCAGCCACAUUGGGACUGAGACACGGCCCAAACUCCUACGGGAGGCAGCAGUGGGGAAUAUUGGACAAUGGGGGCAACCCUGAUCCAGCCAUGCCGCGUGAGUGAUGAAGGCCCUAGGGUUGUAAAGCUCUUUUGUGCGGGAAGAUAAUGACGGUACCGCAAGAAUAAGCCCCGGCUAACUUCGUGCCAGCAGCCGCGGUAAUACGAAGGGGGCUAGCGUUGCUCGGAAUCACUGGGCGUAAAGGGUGCGUAGGCGGGUUUUUAAGUCAGGGGUGAAAUCCUGGAGCUCAACUCCAGAACUGCCUUUGAUACUGAAGAUCUCGAGUCCGGGAGAGGUGAGUGGAACUGCGAGUGUAGAGGUGAAAUUCGUAGAUAUUCGCAAGAACACCAGUGGCGAAGGCGGCUCACUGGCCCGGUACUGACGCUGAGGCACGAAAGCGUGGGGAGCAAACAGGAUUAGAUACCCUAGUAGUCC